GGGUUGUGAGGUUAAGCGACUAAGCGUACACGGUGGAUGCCCUGGCAGUCAGAGGCGAUGAAGGACGUGCUAAUCUGCGAUAAGCGUCGGUAAGGUGAUAUGAACCGUUAUAACCGGCGAUUUCCGAAUGGGGAAACCCAGUGUGAUUCGUCACACUAUCAUUAACUGAAUCCAUAGGUUAAUGAGGCGAACCGGGGGAACUGAAACAUCUAAGUACCCCGAGGAAAAGAAAUCAACCGAGAUUCCCCCAGUAGCGGCGAGCGAACGGGGAGCAGCCCAGAGCCUGAAUCAGUGUGUGUGUUAGUGGAAGCGUCUGGAAAGGCGUGCGAUACAGGGUGACAGCCCCGUACACAAAAAUGCACAUGCUGUGAGCUCGAUGAGUAGGGCGGGACACGUGGUAUCCUGUCUGAAUAUGGGGGGACCAUCCUCCAAGGCUAAAUACUCCUGACUGACCGAUAGUGAACCAGUACCGUGAGGGAAAGGCGAAAAGAACCCCGGCGAGGGGAGUGAAAAAGAACCUGAAACCGUGUACGUACAAGCAGUGGGAGCACAGAGCAAUCUGUGUGACUGCGUACCUUUUGUAUAAUGGGUCAGCGACUUAUAUUCUGUAGCAAGGUUAACCGAAUAGGGGAGCCGAAGGGAAACCGAGUCUUAACUGGGCGUUAAGUUGCAGGGUAUAGACCCGAAACCCGGUGAUCUAGCCAUGGGCAGGUUGAAGGUUGGGUAACACUAACUGGAGGACCGAACCGACUAAUGUUGAAAAAUUAGCGGAUGACUUGUGGCUGGGGGUGAAAGGCCAAUCAAACCGGGAGAUAGCUGGUUCUCCCCGAAAGCUAUUUAGGUAGCGCCUCGUGAAUUCAUCUCCGGGGGUAGAGCACUGUUUCGGCAAGGGGGUCAUCCCGACUUACCAACCCGAUGCAAACUGCGAAUACCGGAGAAUGUUAUCACGGGAGACACACGGCGGGUGCUAACGUCCGUCGUGAAGAGGGAAACAACCCAGACCGCCAGCUAAGGUCCCAAAGUCAUGGUUAAGUGGGAAACGAUGUGGGAAGGCCCAGACAGCCAGGAUGUUGGCUUAGAAGCAGCCAUCAUUUAAAGAAAGCGUAAUAGCUCACUGGUCGAGUCGGCCUGCGCGGAAGAUGUAACGGGGCUAAACCAUGCACCGAAGCUGCGGCAGCGACGCUUAUGCGUUGUUGGGUAGGGGAGCGUUCUGUAAGCCUGCGAAGGUGUGCUGUGAGGCAUGCUGGAGGUAUCAGAAGUGCGAAUGCUGACAUAAGUAACGAUAAAGCGGGUGAAAAGCCCGCUCGCCGGAAGACCAAGGGUUCCUGUCCAACGUUAAUCGGGGCAGGGUGAGUCGACCCCUAAGGCGAGGCCGAAAGGCGUAGUCGAUGGGAAACAGGUUAAUAUUCCUGUACUUGGUGUUACUGCGAAGGGGGGACGGAGAAGGCUAUGUUGGCCGGGCGACGGUUGUCCCGGUUUAAGCGUGUAGGCUGGUUUUCCAGGCAAAUCCGGAAAAUCAAGGCUGAGGCGUGAUGACGAGGCACUACGGUGCUGAAGCAACAAAUGCCCUGCUUCCAGGAAAAGCCUCUAAGCAUCAGGUAACAUCAAAUCGUACCCCAAACCGACACAGGUGGUCAGGUAGAGAAUACCAAGGCGCUUGAGAGAACUCGGGUGAAGGAACUAGGCAAAAUGGUGCCGUAACUUCGGGAGAAGGCACGCUGAUAUGUAGGUGAAGCGACUUGCUCGUGGAGCUGAAAUCAGUCGAAGAUACCAGCUGGCUGCAACUGUUUAUUAAAAACACAGCACUGUGCAAACACGAAAGUGGACGUAUACGGUGUGACGCCUGCCCGGUGCCGGAAGGUUAAUUGAUGGGGUCAGCGCAAGCGAAGCUCUUGAUCGAAGCCCCGGUAAACGGCGGCCGUAACUAUAACGGUCCUAAGGUAGCGAAAUUCCUUGUCGGGUAAGUUCCGACCUGCACGAAUGGCGUAAUGAUGGCCAGGCUGUCUCCACCCGAGACUCAGUGAAAUUGAACUCGCUGUGAAGAUGCAGUGUACCCGCGGCAAGACGGAAAGACCCCGUGAACCUUUACUAUAGCUUGACACUGAACAUUGAGCCUUGAUGUGUAGGAUAGGUGGGAGGCUUUGAAGUGUGGACGCCAGUCUGCAUGGAGCCGACCUUGAAAUACCACCCUUUAAUGUUUGAUGUUCUAACGUUGACCCGUGAUCCGGGUUGCGGACAGUGUCUGGUGGGUAGUUUGACUGGGGCGGUCUCCUCCUAAAGAGUAACGGAGGAGCACGAAGGUUGGCUAAUCCUGGUCGGACAUCAGGAGGUUAGUGCAAUGGCAUAAGCCAGCUUGACUGCGAGCGUGACGGCGCGAGCAGGUGCGAAAGCAGGUCAUAGUGAUCCGGUGGUUCUGAAUGGAAGGGCCAUCGCUCAACGGAUAAAAGGUACUCCGGGGAUAACAGGCUGAUACCGCCCAAGAGUUCAUAUCGACGGCGGUGUUUGGCACCUCGAUGUCGGCUCAUCACAUCCUGGGGCUGAAGUAGGUCCCAAGGGUAUGGCUGUUCGCCAUUUAAAGUGGUACGCGAGCUGGGUUUAGAACGUCGUGAGACAGUUCGGUCCCUAUCUGCCGUGGGCGCUGGAGAACUGAGGGGGGCUGCUCCUAGUACGAGAGGACCGGAGUGGACGCAUCACUGGUGUUCGGGUUGUCAUGCCAAUGGCACUGCCCGGUAGCUAAAUGCGGAAGAGAUAAGUGCUGAAAGCAUCUAAGCACGAAACUUGCCCCGAGAUGAGUUCUCCCUGACUCCUUGAGAGUCCUGAAGGAACGUUGAAGACGACGACGUUGAUAGGCCGGGUGUGUAAGCGCAGCGAUGCGUUGAGCUAACCGGUACUAAUGAACCGUGAGGCUUAACCUUACAACGCCGAAGGUGUUU
This 2933-nucleotide ribosomal RNA is filed under the name Escherichia coli. RNAcentral describes it as "23S ribosomal RNA". It matches the Rfam family "Bacterial large subunit ribosomal RNA". Lineage: Bacteria; Pseudomonadati; Pseudomonadota; Gammaproteobacteria; Enterobacterales; Enterobacteriaceae. The record is from RNAcentral.